GUGGGGAAUAUUGGGCAAUGGGGGCAACCCUGACCCAGCGACGCCGCGUGGGUGAAGAAAUCCCUCGGGAUGUAAAGCCCUGUUGUAUGGGAAGAGCAGAAGACGGUACCAUACGAGGAAGCCCCGGCAAACUACGUGCCAGCAGCCGCGGUAAUACGUAGGGGGCAAGCGUUGUCCGGAAUUACUGGGCGUAAAGCGCACGCAGGCUGAAUUAUAAGUCGGUAGUCAAAUACGGAGGCUCAACUUCCGGAUAUCUAUCGAUACUGUAAAUCUAGAGUAUGUGAGAGGGAAGCGGAAUUCACGGUGUAGCGGUGAAAUGCGUAGAUAUCGGGAGGAACACCAGUGGCGAAGGCGGCUUCCUGGCACAAUACUGACGCUCAUGUGCGAAAGCUAGGGCAGCGAACGGGAUUAGAAACCCUUGUAGUCC
This 427-nucleotide ribosomal RNA is filed under the name uncultured bacterium. Its description in RNAcentral is "partial 16S ribosomal RNA". It matches the Rfam family "Bacterial small subunit ribosomal RNA", at positions 354 to 796 of the family's 1533-position model. The record is from RNAcentral.